UCUCAACUUUUCACAAUUUGUUACAAUUUAGCACAACUUGGCCUACUUAGCCCUUUUCUUAUCACAUAUCCACACAUAUCAUAUUUACUACUCAAUCUUAGCUCCAAAUUACUCAUUUCAUUAUAAUUUCACACAUGGGCUAAGAUUCACCAUAAAUCUCUACAUUUUCAACUAAAAACCCAUUUCAAAACAUUCAAAGCAUUCAACAACCCUAUGGCAACUCAUAUACAAAAAAUUUAUGCUAAAUUAGUUUAUUAUACAAAUUCAAAGCUUCCAUAUGACCAUGGCACCAUUGUGCCAGUUCAGACUCUUUACCCUUGCCCUAAUCACUACUUUGCCCUGUAAAAAUUUAACCACGAGGGGUGAGAUAAAAAUCUCAGUGACAGAAUAAUUUACUCCUAUUGACUAUCACAUGCAACUAUAUGAAAGUAAAACACAAUAUAUCAUUUAACAUAACACAUAUCAUAUCUUUCAUUCAAAUCUCAUUAAUAUAGCAUAUAUCACCACUUUCAUUGCUUUUCAUUACUUUUCUAACAUAAGCAUGAUCUCUACCGUCCGAACCUCCAAAUCACCCCAACUCAAAACUAUAGGCUCGCCUUAGACUAAUGCACAAUCUCAUUGGCCUUGAGCUCACUUUUAGUGGUAGAAUCACUCGGCCAAAGGUGUUCUAUGUAACAUUAUGAGUUUUAAUUCCUCGAUUAAUUAAACCUAAUUAGGGUAAUUAAGUAAGUUGAAGUAGUGUGUGGCCAGGGAGUUCUAAUAAUUAUAUUUGAUAGUAUUUCAGCCCUAAUUGUAGGUUCGGUAUCGAGGCGGGCCACCCGGGUAUUAAAAGGAGACGAAAAGAAAGAGUUGAAGUUGCUGUGCCACACGCUGAGGUGUGGAGAUCGUCCACCAUGGUGCACAGACAUUUUUGAGUGAGGGAGGACCUCUCUGUGCCAUGGCGCAUAGACAUAAUUAGGUAUGGCCAUUUUCUACAGUUUAUUAAACACAAAAUGAAACAAAAAUAGAAAGAAGAGAAAAGAAAGAAUGAAGAGACACGCCAAAGCUCUGUUAAGGUUUACUUGUGGACAACUUUGGGAGUAUUUUGAAGGCUACAAACACCCAAGCUUUGGCUAUUGGUCAUCUAUUGGAUUAAAAAUUCAAGAUUGGAAGCUAGUUGAUUGAGGGGUAAACCUUUGACCUCUCAAUGGUUUAAGGCUCUAGCUCUGGUGUUGAGAGGGAGAAGGCUAAAGAGACGGGAAAUUAGCAUAUUCCUACUGUAUGCUUUUAGAGUAGAUUUAAUUGUGUAAUAGUAUAUGAAUUGCCCAUUUUAGGAUGCAUGCCAUCACACUUGUACUAUUUUGUUAUUGGAAAUGUUAGAUUUGUAUUUUA
Prosopis cineraria is the source of this 1371-nucleotide long non-coding RNA. RefSeq lists it as uncharacterized. The transcript has 3 exons. Lineage: Eukaryota; Viridiplantae; Streptophyta; Magnoliopsida; Fabales; Fabaceae. The record is from RefSeq and is a predicted model, not a curated record.